GAUGAACGCUGGCGGCGUGCCUAAUACAUGCAAGUCGAGCGAACAGACGAGGAGCUUGCUCCUCUGACGUUAGCGGCGGACGGGUGAGUAACACGUGGAUAACCUACCUAUAAUACUGGUAUAACUUCGGGAAACCGGAGCUAAUCCCGUAUAAUAUAUUGAACCGCAUGGUUCAAUAGUGAAAGACGGUUUUGCUGUCACUAAUAGAUGGAUCCGCGCGGCAUUAGCUAGUUGGUAAGGUAACGGCUUACCAAGGCAACGAUGCGUAGCCGACCUGUGAGGGUGGUCGGCCACACUGGAGCUGGGCCAGGGUCCAGAGUCCUACGGGAGGGCGCAGUAGGGAAUCUUCCGCAAUGGGCGAAAGCCUGACGGAGCAACGCCGCGUGAGUGAUGAAGGUCUUCGGAUCGUAAAACUCUGUUAUUAGGGAAGAACAAAUGUGUAAGUAACUAUGCACGUCUUGACGGUACCUAAUAAGAAAGCAACGGCUAACUACGUG
RNAcentral lists this ribosomal RNA (497 nucleotides) under uncultured bacterium. RNAcentral's name for it is "partial 16S ribosomal RNA". It matches the Rfam family "Bacterial small subunit ribosomal RNA", at positions 28 to 507 of the family's 1533-position model. The record is from RNAcentral.